RNAcentral lists this signal recognition particle RNA (96 nucleotides) under Deltaproteobacteria bacterium RIFOXYA12_FULL_61_11. RNAcentral describes it as "signal recognition particle sRNA small type". It matches the Rfam family "Bacterial small signal recognition particle RNA". From Rfam's summary of the family: The signal recognition particle (SRP) is a universally conserved ribonucleoprotein involved in the co-translational targeting of proteins to membranes. Archaeal SRP consists of a 7S RNA and homologues of the eukaryotic SRP19 and SRP54 proteins. Lineage: Bacteria; Deltaproteobacteria. The record is from RNAcentral.
AGCCAGACCCCAGGCAAUAGGCUGCCGCGCACCCCGUCAGAUCCGGAAGGAAGCAGCGGACGCGGUGGGUCUAUGUGCCUGGCAAGUCUGGCUUUU